AAAGCAACUAAAUCUCAUGUCGUUAGAUUCUGUCAAAAUAAACAAUAGAAGACAAUACCCAGAGUGGGAAUUAAUCCUACAAUUCUAAAUGGGACUAACAGCAGAGGUACUGAAACCGAAACAGGAUUUCUUGAUUUUUAUUGGAGAUGGACAUGGAGAUGGAGAUGGAGAUGCAGGGGUGUGUUUGCAGAGAAGAGAAGAAACAGAUGAGAAUAAGACAAGAAAAAUCAUCUUCUUAACGGAGCUUCUCUUCUUGGGAAUUAAACUUGCGUUUUUCUUGUUGAAGCGUGGCUCUGUUAUGGUCUUGACAGCUUCCAUUCUAUGGCUGACUUCGCCAAAUUCUGACUCCGUCGGCUUUGUAUUGGGCAUGAGCAUUUCCAUGAAGUAAAAUUUUAAUCCUUUUUUGUGAUUUGCAGCAGCCAUUGGUUUCAGCUUCAUGCCUGGUUUAGUUGGAAAACAAAUUUU
Molecule: unclassified non-coding RNA, 465 nt
Filed under: Hevea brasiliensis (rubber tree)
Lineage: Eukaryota; Viridiplantae; Streptophyta; Magnoliopsida; Malpighiales; Euphorbiaceae
Source: RNAcentral